UACGUAGGGUGCAAGCGUUAUCCGGAAUUAUUGGGCGUAAAGAGCUCGUAGGCGGUUCGUCGCGUCGGCUGUGAAAUCCCGAGGCUCAACCUCGGGUCUGCAGUCGAUACGGGCGGACUGGAGUUCGGUAGGGGAGACUGGAAUUCCUGGUGUAGCGGUGAAAUGCGCAGAUAUCAGGAGGAACACCGGUGGCGAAGGCGGGUCUCUGGGCCGAUACUGACGCUGAGGAGCGAAAGCGUGGGGAGCGAACAGG
This 253-nucleotide ribosomal RNA is filed under the name uncultured bacterium. Its description in RNAcentral is "partial 16S ribosomal RNA". It matches the Rfam family "Bacterial small subunit ribosomal RNA", at positions 524 to 776 of the family's 1533-position model. The record is from RNAcentral.